RNAcentral lists this ribosomal RNA (391 nucleotides) under Stramenopiles sp. MAST-3F. RNAcentral describes it as "partial small subunit ribosomal RNA". It matches the Rfam family "Eukaryotic small subunit ribosomal RNA", at positions 582 to 975 of the family's 1831-position model. The record is from RNAcentral.
AUUCCAGCUCCAAUAGCGUAUAUUAAAGUUGUUGCAGUUAAAAAGCUCGUAGUUGGAUUUCUGGUCUGAGCGUCCGGUCCGCCGCUGUGCGGUGUGUACUUGGUUCGACUCGGGCCUUCCUUGUAGGGAAUGUUUCUGGCAUUAAUUUGUCGGGGGCGGGAACUGCAUCGUUUACUGUGAAAAAAUUAGAGUGUUUAAAGCAGGCAUUUGCUGUGAAUACAUUAGCAUGGAAUAAUAAGAUAGGACUUUGGUUCUAUUUUGUUGGUUGGAGGCCAAGGUAAUGAUUAAUAGGGAUAGUUGGGGGUAUUCAUAUUUAAUUGUCAGAGGUGAAAUUCUUGGAUUUAUGAAAGAUGAACUUAUGCGAAAGCAUUUACCAAGGAUGUUUUCAUCA